GUACACUCCUGCGGGAGGCAGCAGUGGGGAAUUUUGGACAAUGGGCGAAAGCCUGAUCCAGCAAUGCCGCGUGAGUGAAGAAGGCCUUCGGGUUGUAAAGCUCUUUUGUCAGGGAAGAAACGGUGAAAGCUAAUAUCUUUUGCUAAUGACGGUACCUGAAGAAUAAGCACCGGCUAACUACGUGCCAGCAGCCGCGGGAAUACGUAGGGUGCAAGCGUUAAUCGGAAUUACUGGGCGUAAAGCGUGCGCAGGCGGUUUUGUAAGUCUGAUGUGAAAUCCCCGGGCUCAACCUGGGAAUUGCAUUGGAGACUGCAAGGCUAGAAUCUGGCAGAGGGGGGUAGAAUUCCACGUGUAGCAGUGAAAUGCGUAGAUAUGUGGAGGAACACCGAUGGCGAAGGCAGCCCCCUGGGUCAAGAUUGACGCUCAUGCACGAAAGCGUGGGGAGCAAACAGGAUUAGAAACCCCAGUAGUCCCAUG
This 477-nucleotide ribosomal RNA is filed under the name uncultured organism. RNAcentral describes it as "partial 16S ribosomal RNA". It matches the Rfam family "Bacterial small subunit ribosomal RNA", at positions 331 to 799 of the family's 1533-position model. The record is from RNAcentral.